UAUAAAAGAAACUCCCCGACCCGUCUCCUACUAUGUCUUCAGCUCUGCGGCUAUAUAUAAACCCAUAGAUCUCGUCUCUCGAAUAAAUUUGCAUUUCAUUUCACUUGAAUUUUGCUGCAUUUCUGCUCUCUUCAAUUCUCUUUCUCCGAGCCUCAGGUUUGCGGGCCACCAUCGAUCCUUUUUAUCGACAAAUUAUUCGGAAUUCGUACGAAUUCUACGGAGAUUCUCGCUGUUCGACGACGGAGAUCCGUUUUCUACAGGGUCUCCCCGAGCUUAACCAGAGUCCAUAAGAUCACUCUGCGCUCUCGUGGAUCUAAGCUAAAUUUUUUAGUCUGAUCGAUCUUUUGAUGUCCUUCGAUUAUUAGAAUUCUAGGGUUUUAAUUACCGCUUGAAUCGAAUUCUCGAGGCGAUCAAAGAUCCGAACCAAGGGAAGCGAAACUCAUGUUGAUGGAGUGCCAAGGUAAAAAAGCGACGCACGAUUUCCUUUCGCUUUACAACAAGGACUCAUCUUUCCAGCUUCAAGAUUCAAGACCUGCAUCUCAAGGGUUUUUUCUCAAGACCCACGAUUUCCUCAAACCGCUGGAGACGCCGGAGGAGCCCGAAGCACGUCGAG
Asparagus officinalis (garden asparagus) is the source of this 613-nucleotide long non-coding RNA. RefSeq lists it as uncharacterized. Lineage: Eukaryota; Viridiplantae; Streptophyta; Magnoliopsida; Asparagales; Asparagaceae. The record is from RefSeq and is a predicted model, not a curated record. The transcript is spliced from 3 exons.